Molecule: ribosomal RNA, 916 nt
Filed under: uncultured bacterium
Lineage: Bacteria
Description: bacterial SSU rRNA
Rfam family: Bacterial small subunit ribosomal RNA
Source: RNAcentral
AGAGUUUGAUCAUGGCUCAGAUUGAACGCUGGCGGCAGGCUUAACACAUGCAAGUCGAACGAUGAUUAUCUAGCUUGCUAGAUAUGAUUAGUGGCGGACGGGUGAGUAACAUUUAGGGAUCUGCCUAGUAGUGGGGGAUAGCUCGGGGAAACUCGAAUUAAUACCGCAUACGACCUACGGGUGAAAGGGGGCGCAAGCUCUUGCUAUUAGAUGAGCCUAAAUCAGAUUAGCUAGUUGGUGGGGUAAAGGCCCACCAAGGCGACGAUCUGUAACUGGUCUGAGAGGAUGAUCAGUCACACCGGAACUGAGACACGGUCCGGACUCCUACGGGAGGCAGCAGUGGGGAAUAUUGGACAAUGGGGGCAACCCUGAUCCAGCCAUGCCGCGUGUGUGAAGAAGGCCUUUUGGUUGUAAAGCACUUUAAGCAGGGAGGAGAGGCUAAUGGUUAAUACCCAUUAGAUUAGACGUUACCUGCAGAAUAAGCACCGGCUAACUCUGUGCCAGCAGCCGCGGUAAUACAGAGGGUGCGAGCGUUAAUCGGAAUUACUGGGCGUAAAGCGAGUGUAGGUGGCUCAUUAAGUCACAUGUGAAAUCCCCGGGCUUAACCUGGGAACUGCAUGUGAUACUGGUGGUGCUAGAAUAUGUGAGAGGGAAGUAGAAUUCCAGGUGUAGCGGUGAAAUGCGUAGAGAUCUGGAGGAAUACCGAUGGCGAAGGCAGCUUCCUGGCAUAAUAUUGACACUGAGAUUCGAAAGCGUGGGUAGCAAACAGGAUUAGAUACCCUGGUAGUCCACGCCGUAAACGAUGUCUACUAGCCGUUGGGGGUCCUUGAGACUUUAGUGGCGCAGUUUAACGCGAUAAGUAGACCGCCUGGGGGAGUACGGGCCGCAAGGUUUAAAACUCAAAUGAAAUUGACGG